GCAUCCAUUUCUUUCGCGUAGUCAAAUCGUUCUCCAGCCUUCUGACGAUAGCACUUCCCCAAGAAAGAUAAUAUCUUUUGCUAUCUGUUUUGACUCCAUCCCUUCCAUCCUCUCCUUCAGUCCGAGUUUCUUGAUUCUCUCCUUCUUCAGUCAAGCGCAUACCGAUCCAGAUCUGUUCCCUUCAGGUAAAUACUCUCUUCUCUAUCAAUGGCUCUUCUAGCCAACUUAUGCGCGUUCGAAUUUUCUGAUCUAUUGAUAUGUUGAAAAUUAAGGUCUUGAAAACAUGAUAUCUUGCUGUGAAUAUCGCUAAUAAUUGCCCCAAUCACUGAUUUAUCAAUUGAAUUUUUCCGACAUUUGUUGAUGACUGUCUUGGAGUCCCCCGUGAUUUUUAUUGAUGGCAUUCGUAGAGCGAUUCCUAAUUUCAUACUUUCCAAACAAGCUACGCCUCUGCUGCAAACGCGGAGGAAACCUUCUUAUGUAUCACCAUCUUUAGCACCAGCAAAUCUCCAUUUUGGUCCCACCCUACCAGUCCUGUUGCUGACUUGAAGCUUCGUUUGUCGAAAGCUGCAUCAAACUGGAUCGCUGCUUUUGGUAAGUCCUCUUGAACACCAUACUUCCUGACCAUAGUUUUCUGUGUCUUCAAAUCUCUUACUCCCUCAAUCUCUGCCAUUUGUCUUUGGAUGCUUUGUGCUAUAACUCGACCUGUACUGUUUUUCCUUUCAUAAAUAAACUGGUUUCUGGAGACCCAGAUCGCCCAUAAAGCAUAGCAAAACAGUCGACAUUGAGCAUCGUUUCCUUUCUGGAAAACCCAGUCUCGGAACACAUGGAGACUUUCUUCAGGCCAGGAUCGACAUCGGGGGCAUUCCUCAUUAGUAAUAACUUUCCUUCAUCUGAGAUUAACAAAAUUAGGGAUAUAAUCCCAAGAGAUUCUCCAAAUAGUCAUUGUAAUUUUUGGGGGAAGCUGUAAUCCCUAUAAUUUCCUGUAAAAGUUCUUAGAUUCGGUCUGUAACAAGUAAUCGGUAGGAUUAAGAGUAGCCUCUUGUAAUAGUUUAUAAGCGCUACGAACAGAAAAUUCACCGGAUAAUUCUCCCUUCCAUACUUGGAUGUCUUCGUGCUCAGUCUCGGCUAACGACAUUUGUAAAAUUUUCUGGGCUGUUUCGACUUGAAAGCUCUAUCGAUUACCAGAAUCCAACUAUCCUCCCAAAUAGAGAUUUUGUCUCCCCUGCCCACUCUCCAGCACAGUCCUUGUUGGAGUAAACCUUUUGCUGCCCAAAUGCUCCGCCAGGUGAGUGAAGGUGCAAAUGGCGGUGGGUGGGUCGGUGGCAGAGGAGUUGGUGCGGCGCAACAGUGACGGUGGGGAUGGGUCAUGCGGCGUUGAGCAGUUAGAAGGCAGACCUGGGUGCGGCGCACCUAGGGUUUUUUUGUUAUUUUCUGUUAGAUUUUUGGGGUUUUUUGGGCCAUUGUAUCUUUGGGCUUUAUGGGUUAGGUCUAGGCUAGGUUUGGUUUUGGGCCCCAGGCAUAAAUUGGGCUGUACAGCUACCCUUCUUUGCUCGUUGUCGUGUAGUGAGAACAGAGCAAAGACUAAGAAAGACCAAUUUUGCUCGGUCUCACUGAUUCUUGACUUCUUUGGGCUCUUCUUUUCUUCAAGUAACCUCAUUCCAGUCCAUUGUGUCUUAUUGCUUUGAUCCACUCCACUGCAACUUCAAAAAGAGAUAUGACUUAUGGCUUCAAUCCAAUCUGCUGCAACUUUAGGGGGUAAGGUUUGUGGUUUUAGUCUGCUCCACUGCAAUGUCAGGGAGAUAAGACUUGUAUAUUUUUAACCUGCUCCACUGCAACUUCAGGGAGAUAAGGUUUGAUAUGAUCUACUCUACUACAACGUCAGAGAGAUAAGAUCUGCUAUUUAUGGCUUUAAUCUGCUCUACUGCAACUUCAGAGAGAUAAGAUUUGCUAUAUUCAGUCUGCUCCACUGUAACUUCAGGGAGAUGAGACUUGCCGUUUUCGAUCUGUUCGCCAGGGAAGUAAGAUUUGCUGUUGUAGUUUCAAUCUAUUUAACUGUAAUUUUGGGGAAGCAAGAUUCGCUGUUGUAGCUUCAAUCUGUUCCAUUGCAUCACUAGGGAAGUAAGAUUCGCUGUUGUAGCUUUAAUCUAUUUAACUGCGAUGUCGGGAAAGCAAGAUUCACUGUUGUAGCUUCAAUCUGUUCCACUACACCGCUAAGGAAGUAAGAUUCGAUAUUGUAGCUUAAAUCUAUUUAACUGCAAUGUCGGGGAAACAAGAUUUACUAUUGUAGCUUC
This is a long non-coding RNA of Gossypium raimondii (Peruvian cotton), 2291 nucleotides long. RefSeq lists it as uncharacterized. The transcript has 4 exons. NCBI's taxonomy places the organism in Eukaryota, Viridiplantae, Streptophyta, Magnoliopsida, Malvales, Malvaceae. The record is from RefSeq and is a predicted model, not a curated record.